UACAGAGGGGGCAAGCGUUAUUCGGAAUUAUUGGGCGUAAAGGGCGCGUAGGCGGCUUGGCAAGUGGAUGGUGAAAUCCCUCGGCUUAACCGAGGAACUGCCGUCCAAACUGCUUCGCUUGAGACCGGGAGAGGUGAGUGGAAUUCCCAGUGUAGCGGUGAAAUGCGUAGAUAUUGGGAGGAACACCAGUGGCGAAGGCGGCUCACUGGACCGUUACUGACGCUGAGGCGCGAAAGCGUGGGGAGCAAACGGG
Molecule: ribosomal RNA, 253 nt
Filed under: uncultured bacterium
Lineage: Bacteria
Description: partial 16S ribosomal RNA
Rfam family: Bacterial small subunit ribosomal RNA
Source: RNAcentral